Long non-coding RNA from Oreochromis aureus, 946 nucleotides. RefSeq lists it as uncharacterized. Lineage: Eukaryota; Metazoa; Chordata; Actinopteri; Cichliformes; Cichlidae. The transcript is spliced from 3 exons. The record is from RefSeq and is a predicted model, not a curated record.
ACACGCAAUGAAAGAGCAAAGGAAACGAGUUUCCCCCAGAGAACAAUCUGGAAAAUUACCCUCCAUUCACACAGACAGGGGGAGUAUUGACAGAGUGUCACACUUGCUCACAGCCAAUCAGCUUUUGUUGCUUUCUAUCACAGCGGACUCAGAACAUCUGCUGCUCCUCAAACGCAACACCUGUGUCUGCGUGGAGCUCAGAGACGCCUUACUGGAACAGGUGCUGAUGCUCGUCAGGUGACCUAAAGCAGCAGGACAGGAGGAGCAAACCCACAGCAUGUUUGUCCUCGUGUAGCUCUACACAGUCUGAGGUGUUCUUCGGUAAACCGGACCACCCGACAGAAGGACCCGAGGCCCCGCUGCACUUUUUUGUCACUUGGACCGACCUGCUGGAGCCUCUGCUGGACGUUAGAGGAACUGCAGUUUUUUGUCGUUUCCUGCAUGUUUUCUGUGAAAAGCCGACGUUUGGAUCCACUCAGAGUUCUAAAAUCCCGCACAGGCUUCUUUCUGCAUGAGGUCUUUUUCCAAACAGCUGCUUGUUGCUUGAAGAAAACAUUUUCCUACUUACUAAAUACUUUGCAGAAAGAUCUAAAUGUGAACACACCUUUUUUUCUGUGUUUUACACUUUUUAAAAUGCUGUGAGUUUAAAUGGCUGCUACCUUGCCAAGCCUCUCUUGUCUCUCUAAGAGAGAUGUGAUAUAUAAAAAAUAAAUAAUGGGAAGCACAGUUUGAAACGAUCGCUUCUGGCUGCUAUAAAAGGGAAGAAUGUGGCAGCAUGUAUUCACAGCGUUGUAUACAAGGAGCAUCAUUUCUACAUAUUUUAAGAUUUCCUUAUCUAACGUCUCUCUCCGGGACUGAGGAAGCAGAGAUGGGGAGAUGCAGAAUUCCUUCUGAUACAAAUGACAAACUUUUUAUUUUUAUUUUUAUGUAUAAAUGUUUUAUUGGA